RNAcentral lists this ribosomal RNA (495 nucleotides) under uncultured bacterium. RNAcentral's name for it is "partial 16S ribosomal RNA". It matches the Rfam family "Bacterial small subunit ribosomal RNA", at positions 28 to 507 of the family's 1533-position model. The record is from RNAcentral.
GACGAACGCUGGCGGCGUGCCUAAUACAUGCAAGUAGAACGCUGAAGGAGGAGCUUGCUACUCUGGAUGAGUUGCGAACGGGUGAGUAACGCGUAGGUAACCUGCCUGGUAGCGGGGGAUAACUAUUGGAAACGAUAGCUAAUACCGCAUAAGAGUAGAUGUCGCAUGACAUUUGCUUAAAAGGUGCAAUUGCAUCACUACCAGAUGGACCUGCGUUGUAUUAGCUAGUUGGUGAGGUAACGGCUCACCAAGGCAACGAUACAUAGCCGACCUGAGAGGGUGAUCGGCCACACUGGGACUGAGACACGGCCCAGACUCCUACGGGAGGCAGCAGUAGGGAAUCUUCGGCAAUAGACGGAAGUCUGACCGAGCAACGCCGCGUGAGUGAAGAAGGUUUUCGGAUCGUAAAGCUCUGUUGUAAGAGAAGAACGAGUGUGAGAGUGGAAAGUUCACACUGUGACGGUAGCUUACCAGAAAGGGACGGCUAACUACGUG